RNAcentral lists this ribosomal RNA (1104 nucleotides) under Triticum aestivum (bread wheat). RNAcentral describes it as "partial small subunit ribosomal RNA". The record is from RNAcentral. Lineage: Eukaryota; Viridiplantae; Streptophyta; Magnoliopsida; Poales; Poaceae.
AUGCCAAAGCGGCCGCGGAAAUGUGAGCAUGGCGGCGGCCCUGAGCGACUUUACCUUGUCUUUGACGACUGGUGCCAUGGAUAUAGCAUCCGCAUGGUAAACUUGUUGCCCGGCGAGAACCAUCAGCAGACUGCUUUCUCAGACCAAGACGACCAAGACAAGGUGCCACAUUUUCCUCGGCCUUUCUUCCGCAUGGUGGCGCCUCGUGAAUCUCCUAAGUACUUCACAUCAGCCUUUGGCACCAGGAUCUUGGCGAUGCAUCCGAGAGAUCCCGAGGGUGACUUGUUGGAAGGUUACUUCCCCAUGUUGGACGUCCGCUCGCGGUGCGUCACCACUGGCCCUGGGCAGAGAAAUCUUUUUCAUCCCAUCUACCACCUCCCGGUCGGCAACAAGCUAUUCACUAUGAGCUCUUACUCCUUCGAGAUGCUCUGCUUGGAGGAGCUCUCAGCCAAGGUAUCGCAUCGAAAUUCCAGCAAAGAGUGGUCGUGGAAAGAGCUCGAGCAGCAGCCAUUUAAUGUUUGUGACGUCACUUCCUACUCCUUGCACCCUGAAGAACGGACCUUCCUCAUCAGCACCAAGAAGGACACCACCGAGGCCACCUUCAGCUUUGACACGGAGAGGCAUUCAUGGAAACUACUUGGCAAUUGGGUUCUGCCCUUUGACGGCCAGGGUCACUUUGACCAGCACCUCAAGGCCUUUGUUGGGCUCUCCAAAGAACCGGACACCCUCGGUCAAAUUUACUGCUGCGACGUGCCCAUCUAUGGUACCCCUGAAGGGCGGUGCCCUGUCCCUUCGAUGAAUCUCUGCAAGGAGAAUCUGUUCGUUUCUGGUGACCCAAUGGAUAAGCAUGUAGGUGCUACCCUUGUCUAUAUGGGAGGCGUGAGCAAAUUCUGUCUCGUGCAGUGUGUCAACAAGGAGGUGAGGGAUCCUGGUUUGAGCCUACCUGGUUCCUGGAUGUAUCGUUUGACAACAUUCUCUCUCAGCCUGGACGAUCAGCGUAAAGAACUGACGACUGGCGGUACCUGUCACUCGCAGUACUACAAAGUGCCCAAAGCAACCACCAAGUCGUUACUCGUUCAAGAUCCUGUGGCAUUUUGGAUGUAG